This 991-nucleotide ribosomal RNA is filed under the name uncultured bacterium. RNAcentral describes it as "bacterial SSU rRNA". It matches the Rfam family "Bacterial small subunit ribosomal RNA", at positions 509 to 1504 of the family's 1533-position model. The record is from RNAcentral.
CAGCCGCCGCGGUAAUACGAGGGGUGCAAGCGUUAAUCGGAAUUACUGGGCGUAAAGCGAGCGUAGGUGGUAAUAUAAGUUGGAUGUGAAAAACCGGAGCUCAACUCCGGCCGUGCAUUCAAAACUGUAUGACUAGAGUCCUGUAGAGGGGGGUAGAAUUUCAGGUGUAGCGGUGAAAUGCGUAGAGAUCUGAAGGAAUACCAGUGGCGAAGGCGGCCCCCUGGACAGAGACUGACGCUGAGGUUCGAAAGCGUGGGUAGCGAACAGGAUUAGAUACCCUGGUAGUCCACGCCGUAAACGAUGUCUACUUGUUGUUUGUGUCUUUAAGACGUGAGUGACGAAGCUAACGCGCUAAGUAGACCGCCUGGGGAGUACGGUCGCAAGAUUAAAACUCAAAUGAAUUGACGGGGGCCCGCACAAGCGGUGGAGCAUGUGGUUUAAUUCGAUGCAACGCGAAGAACCUUACCAUCCCUUGACAUCCUACGAAAUUAGCAGAGAUGCUUUUGUGCCUUCGGGAACGUAGAGACAGGUGCUGCAUGGCUGUCGUCAGCUCGUGUUGUGAAAUGUUGGGUUAAGUCCCGCAACGAGCGCAACCCCUAUCCUUAGUUGCUAGCAGGUAAUGCUGAGAACUCUAAGGAGACUGCCGGUGACAAACCGGAGGAAGGUGGGGACGACGUCAAGUCAUCAUGGCCCUUACGGGAUGGGCUACACACGUGCUACAAUGGACGGUACAGAGGGCAGCGAGAUAGCGAUAUUUAGCGAAUCCCUUAAAGCCGUUCGUAGUCCGGAUUGGGGUCUGCAACUCGACCCCAUGAAGUCGGAAUCGCUAGUAAUCGCGGAUCAGAAUGCCGCGGUGAAUACGUUCCCGGGCCUUGUACACACCGCCCGUCACACCAUGGGAGUGGGCUGCACCAGAAGUGGUUAGCUUAAUAAUGGGCGAUCACCACGGUGUGGUUCAUGACUGGGGUGAAGUCGUAACAAGGUAGCCGUA